RNAcentral lists this ribosomal RNA (589 nucleotides) under Klebsiella sp. 173. RNAcentral describes it as "bacterial SSU rRNA". It matches the Rfam family "Bacterial small subunit ribosomal RNA", at positions 791 to 1369 of the family's 1533-position model. Lineage: Bacteria; Pseudomonadati; Pseudomonadota; Gammaproteobacteria; Enterobacterales; Enterobacteriaceae. The record is from RNAcentral.
UCAUCCGCGUCACGAUGUCGACUUGGAGGUUGUGCCCUUGAGGCGUGGCUUCCGGACGCUAACGCGUUAAGUCGACCGCCUGGGGAGUACGGCGCAAGGUUAAAACUCAAAUGAAUUGACGGGGGGCCCGCACAAGCGGUGGAGCAUGUGGUUUAAUUCGAUGCAACGCGACGAACCUUACCUACUCUUGACAUCCCGAGCACUUCCAGAGACUGGAUGGUGCCUUCGGGAACUCUGAGACAGGUGCUGCAUGGCUGUCGUCAGCAUCGUGUAGUGCCACUGUAGGGUUAAGUCCCGCAACGAGCGCAACCCUUAUCCUUUGUUGACCAGCGGUCCGGACGGGAACUCAAAGGAGACUGACAGUGACUAACUGGAGGAAGGUGGGGCUGAAGUCAAGUCCUCAUGGCCCUUACGAGUACGGGCUAACACACGUUGCUACAAAUGGCGCAAUACAAAGAGAAGAGCCCUCACGCGAGACAGACGGAACUCAUAAAGUGCGUCAUCAUACCGGCUUGGCGUCUGCAACAUCGACUCCAUGAAGUCGGAAAUCGAUAGAAAUAGUAGAUUCAGCAAUGAUAACGGAGAAUAC